UACGGAGGAUGCAAGCGUUAUCCGGAUUUAUUGGGUUUAAAGGGUGCGUAGGCGGAAAUUUAAGUCAGUGAUGAAAUCCUGCGGCUCAACCGUAGAACUGUUAUUGAUACUGAAUUUCUUGAAUACAGUUGAGGUUGGCGGAAUGUGUAAUGUAGCGGUGAAAUGCUUAGAUAUUACACAGAACACCGAUUGCGAAGGCAGCUAACUAAACUGAUAUUGACGCUGAGGCACGAAAGCGUGGGGAGCGAACAGG
Molecule: ribosomal RNA, 253 nt
Filed under: uncultured bacterium
Lineage: Bacteria
Description: partial 16S ribosomal RNA
Rfam family: Bacterial small subunit ribosomal RNA
Source: RNAcentral